Molecule: long non-coding RNA, 1253 nt
Organism: Macrobrachium nipponense
Lineage: Eukaryota; Metazoa; Arthropoda; Malacostraca; Decapoda; Palaemonidae
Exons: 3
Source: RefSeq, a predicted model, not a curated record
UAUAUAAUCGCAGUUCAGUGAUCCUUUCAUUGAGACAGUUGGUAAACUCUCAAGACUCAGUCCGUAGGAAAGAACAAGAGAAAGAAAAAGAAGAAAAAAUGGCAAGAUCUUUCUUCCUUCUGGUAGCUGUCAUCUUAGCAGGUCUGGUCUGCUCAGCUGUCGGCUCUAGGGGUAUCACCCCCUGCCGUACUCCCCCCCGCCGUGAAGUGUCCGGUUGCAAGAAUUUCUGUAACAAUGAUAAGUUCGGACAAUAUACUUGCUGCGACGAAGAUGACAGCCCAAAAAGCCACCAAGGACGCUGCCCCAACACCCCAAUCACCCCCCAGGAGACGGAAGCCCUUUGCGUCGGCUUCCCGAUCAUCCUUUGCCACAGCGACAGCGAGUGUAACGAUAACGAGAAGUGCUGCUACACCCUCGACACCCAGCACCGUAUUUGUAGAAGAUCUCAUUAAGUAGAACUAGAGCGAGCAAGGGAGCCGUUUCAAGGCAAAUCCCAAGUCCCAACUACUACUACAAAUGCAAUAUCUGCUAAAAUAAAGAAGAAGAAGGUUUAAAAGAGCUAGGAACCGUUUAACAGGCUAAUCCCACCUACUACUACUACUACUACUAGGGCUGGUUGCCAUAGAACAACUCCGAUUUUAUAAUUAUCUGAAAUUGUACUGAACACUCAAUAUGUUAUAAGUCAUCAAAAACAGGAUGCCAUGUAAUUUCCGUUCGCCCAACUUCUGAUAUUACUAAAACUGUAGGAUAUACGUACAUAUACAGAAGGAAAUUUCACAAUUACUUGAAUUUCUUAGAAAAAUAUGUAAAUAUACUAUAUAUAUUUCGAUAGUAAGUUUUGGCUAGCCACUGCUAACUGUCGAAAUAUAUGCAGUAUGCAUCUUCCUAGAUCAUUCAAAUUAUUGUAGAAUUUCCUUCUAUAUUCCCCAGUACGGCACUGCACUGAUGUCCUAAAUAUUACAUAAUGAAAGUGUUACAGUCAUUAAAAUAGGCUGAUACCUUUUUGAUCAAAGGCUAAUAUGAUAAAAACUUGUAAUUGUUUGGGGUGGCGAAUUUAAUCACAUCUUGAUUACAUCAUCAGUUAUUUUCAGUUUUAAUUUCCAUUUAUUCAUUUAUCGUUGUUGUAAAAGAAUUUAUCAAUUAGAAAAAAUCAAUAAGUACUUUAAUUUAAAUUUUUUUUAAUCCCUUAACCUGAAAUACAAACAGUGUAUUCAUGUUUUGUGUCGAUAAAUAAAUUGUUAUGCUUCAAAUUA